Molecule: non-coding RNA, 145 nt
Organism: Gossypium hirsutum (cotton)
Lineage: Eukaryota; Viridiplantae; Streptophyta; Magnoliopsida; Malvales; Malvaceae
Source: Rfam
UGUUAAAAAUUUCAUCCACUUGUAUUGUUAAAAGUUGACGUGGCUGAUGGAAUAAUCAAACAGUAACAUGUGGUGUGCCAAUUAUACCUCAUGUUGAUGUAUGGAGACCAAUUUUUAACAGUAAAAAUAGAUAAAAUUUUUAACA